Molecule: long non-coding RNA, 463 nt
Filed under: Gallus gallus (chicken)
Lineage: Eukaryota; Metazoa; Chordata; Aves; Galliformes; Phasianidae
Description: lncRNA (ENSGALG00010017064.1)
Source: RNAcentral
GGCUGCGGGGGGUUCGCUCUGAGCCGCUCUCCUGGCGGUCGCCUCGCGCUCACUGCUGCUCCUCGCGCUCCCCUCAGCACGCGGUGAGGGCAGAGCGGCCGCGGAGCUCCGGUAGAGCGGCGCUGAAGGAGAUGAGGCGGAGCGGCUCCUGGGCCACGUCGUGCGAGCGCUGAGCUGCGGGAGGAGGAGCCAUCAGCAGACGGAGCUCUUCCACCACGAGAUGGCAUUGAUUGUGCAGGGAAGGAAGGGCUUCCUUUGAUCUCUUUGUGGCCUUAUGAAGUUUAUUUAAAGUGCCAAAGCCACCCAAACGCUCAUGGUGCCACACAGAUCUCUGUCCAUCGUCACUGGCUUGACCACACCGUGCUUAACUCAGACCCUUCUGUAUUUGUUCCUUCUAGUGAUGGCAGAGCAUGAAAGGCGAUAAGGAAAUAAGAAGGAAAAUGAUAUAAUUGCAAGCUCGGUU